This is a long non-coding RNA of Entelurus aequoreus (snake pipefish), 474 nucleotides long. RefSeq lists it as uncharacterized. Lineage: Eukaryota; Metazoa; Chordata; Actinopteri; Syngnathiformes; Syngnathidae. The transcript has 4 exons. The record is from RefSeq and is a predicted model, not a curated record.
UGACGUUGUUUGAUAUUAGGACUAGCAGUAAAACUUUAUAUUCUGUAAAAAAAGGCUUUUAUUUCCAGCGCCGCCUCCCAGAAUGCUUUGCAUGGGGACGUGCGUCUGACGUCACGUAUUCAGAAAAUUCGAAAUGGCUGCACGCGGGAGGUGAGGCCCGAGCGAAGAAAAGUGGAAAAGAGUGUUAUUCGUCAAAAAACCCACACAACGACGGUCAUUUUUUAGCCGUGCUAUUGUAAAAUUGUCUUUUAUCUGUGUUUUGUGAAGCCGUGGAGCUCGAGAUCCUGUUUACUGUGGACUAGCUGUGUGUGACGCCAUGUUGUUUUUGUUUCCAUUACAAAAAAAAAGCUCCACCGUCUCGCCGAGUGCCAGCAAGAGUCAUGAGUACUUGUCAACUCGACUCCUCAACUGGAGAUAACUUUCUAGCACCUCACCAUGGGGAAGGACGUAUUCAUAUGCCUUCACCAGCACCUG